Molecule: ribosomal RNA, 1051 nt
Filed under: uncultured bacterium
Lineage: Bacteria
Description: bacterial SSU rRNA
Rfam family: Bacterial small subunit ribosomal RNA
Source: RNAcentral
GCAGCAGUGAGGAAUAUUGGUCAAUGGGCGAGAGCCUGAACCAGCCAUCCCGCGUGCAGGAUGACAGUCCUAGUGAUUGUAAACUGCUUUUCUAUAAGAUGAAUAAGGACUACGUGUAAUUCGAUGACCGUAUUAUAGGAAUAAGCAUCGGCUAACUCCGUGCCAGCAGCCGCGGUAAUACGGAGGAUGCAAGCGUUAUCCGGAUUUAUUAGGUUUAAAGGGUGCGUAGGUGGGCGUUUAAGUCAGUGGUUAAAGCCAAUAGCUUAACUAUUGUAUGCCAUUGAAACUGGAUGUCUUGAAUAGGGUAGAGGUAGGCGGAAUGUGUUGUGUAGCGGUGAAAUGCUUAGAUAUAACACAGAACACCGAUUGCGAAGGCAGCUUACUAUGCCUUUAUUGACACUGAUGCACGAAAGCGUGGGCAUCAAACAGGAUUAGAUACCCUGGUAGUCCACGCUGUAAACGAUGAUCACUCGUUUUUGGCAAUACAUCGUCAGAGACUAAGCGAAAGCAUUAAGUGAUCCACCUGGGGAGUACGUUCGCAAGAAUGAAACUCAAAGGAAUUGACGGGGGCCCGCACAAGCGGAGGAACAUGUGGUUUAAUUCGAUGAUACGCGAGGAACCUUACCUGGGCUUAAAUGUAUAGUGCAUAAUAUGGAAACAUAUUUUUCCUUCGGGACUCUUUACAAGGUGCUGCAUGGUUGUCGUCAGCUCGUGCCGUGAGGUGUCGGGUUAAGUCCCAUAACGAGCGCAACCCUCAUCGCCAGUUGCCAGCAUGUAAUGAUGGGGACUCUGGUGAAACUGCCGGUGUAAACCGUGAGGAAGGUGGGGAUGACGUCAAAUCAGCACGGCCCUUAUGUCCAGGGCUACACACGUGUUACAAUGGCCAAUACAAAGGGCAGCCACCCGGCGACGGGGUGCUAAUCCAUAAAGUUGGUCUUAGUUCGGAUCGGAGUCUGCAGCUCGACUCCGUGAAGCUGGAUUCGCUAGUAAUCGUAGAUCAGCCAUGCUACGGUGAAUACGUUCCCGGGCCUUGUACACACCGCCCGUCAAG